GCCCGGAUAGUGUAGUGGCCUAUCAUGAAGGACUAUCAAUCCUUCGACCCGGGUUCAAAUCCCGGUCCGGGCGCCA
RNAcentral lists this transfer RNA (76 nucleotides) under uncultured archaeon. Its description in RNAcentral is "tRNA-Asp(atc)". It matches the Rfam family "tRNA". Rfam says of the family: Transfer RNA (tRNA) molecules are approximately 80 nucleotides in length. Their secondary structure includes four short double-helical elements and three loops (D, anti-codon, and T loops). The record is from RNAcentral.